This 445-nucleotide ribosomal RNA is filed under the name uncultured bacterium. RNAcentral describes it as "partial 16S ribosomal RNA". It matches the Rfam family "Bacterial small subunit ribosomal RNA", at positions 354 to 796 of the family's 1533-position model. The record is from RNAcentral.
GUGGGGAAUAUUGCGCAAUGGAGGCAACUCUGACGCAGCCAUGCCGCGUGCAGGAAGAAGGCGCUACGCGUUGUAAACUGCUUUUAACCGGGAAGAAACCCCAGGACGUGUCCUGGGUUGACGGUACCGGAGGAAUAAGCACCGGCUAACUUCGUGCCAGCAGCCGCGGUAAUACGAAGGGUGCAAGCGUUAUCCGGAUUCAUUGGGUUUAAAGGGUGCGUAGGCGGAGCGUUAAGUCAGUGGUGAAAUCCUGCAGCUUAACUGUAGACUUGCCAUUGAUAGUGGCGCUCUUGAGUGCGCUUGAAGUGGGCGGAAUGUGCCGUGUAGCGGUGAAAUGCUUAGAUAUGGCACAGAACACCAAUUGCGAAGGCAGCUCACUAAGGCGAUACUGACGCUGAGGCACGAAAGCGUGGGGAUCGAACAGGAUUAGAAACCCUAGUAGUCC